Small nuclear RNA from Vulpes vulpes (red fox), 107 nucleotides. The record is from Ensembl. Lineage: Eukaryota; Metazoa; Chordata; Mammalia; Carnivora; Canidae.
GUGCUCACUUUGGCUGCACAUAUACUAAAAUUGGAACGAUACAGAGAAUAUUAGCAUGGCCUCUGGGCAAGGAUGACAUGGAAAUUCGUGAAACAUUCCAUAUUUAA